Molecule: ribosomal RNA, 466 nt
Filed under: uncultured bacterium
Lineage: Bacteria
Description: partial 16S ribosomal RNA
Rfam family: Bacterial small subunit ribosomal RNA
Source: RNAcentral
CGCACGCUGGCGGCGUGCUUAACACAUGCAAGUCGAACGGAAAGGCCCUGCUUUUGUGGGGUGCUCGAGUGGCGAACGGGUGAGUAACACGUGAGUAACCUGCCCUUGACUUUGGGAUAACUUCAGGAAACUGGGGCUAAUACCGGAUAGGAGCUCCUGCUGCAUGGUGGGGGUUGGAAAGUUUCGGCGGUUGGGGAUGGACUCGCGGCUUAUCAGCUUGUUGGUGGGGUAGUGGCUUACCAAGGCUUUGACGGGUAGCCGGCCUGAGAGGGUGACCGGCCACAUUGGGACUGAGAUACGGCCCAGACUCCUACGGGAGGCAGCAGUGGGGAAUAUUGCACAAUGGGCGGAAGCCUGAUGCAGCAACGCCGCGUGCGGGAUGACGGCCUUCGGGUUGUAAACCGCUUUCGCCUGUGACGAAGCGUGAGUGACGGUAAUGGGUAAAGAAGCACCGGCUAACUACGUG